This 301-nucleotide long non-coding RNA is filed under the name Elaeis guineensis (African oil palm). RNAcentral describes it as "long non-coding RNA (EGUI_LNC072052)". The record is from RNAcentral. Lineage: Eukaryota; Viridiplantae; Streptophyta; Magnoliopsida; Arecales; Arecaceae.
UUGCUAACUCCGACUCCUGGAGCUUUAUUACUGUUUCAAUGAAACAGCGAUCCAUAAAAUUUUAUCCAUCUUCUAAAGGUUUUUUUUUAAAUAUUUAUCAAAAUAAAUUUUGAAAGCAAUAUCAGAGAUGAAAAAAAUGGCAUAGAUUUCAUCAUUCGCAAUGCUGAUGUUAGACUUUUAGCUACUGAUACUUUCCAUCUUGUUGAGCCUUCUGUUUCGGAAGCGGAGCUUCACACCGUCUGAACAGACAUCAUUUUUAUCGAACAGUAGUUUCAAACGGACAGGAUCAGUAUUGAAGAUG